AUACGGAAGGUCCGGGCGUUAUCCGGAUUUAUUGGGUUUAAAGGGAGCGUAGGCCGGAGAUUAAGCGUGUUGUGAAAUGUAGAUGCUCAACAUCUGAACUGCAGCGCGAACUGGUUUCCUUGAGUACGCACAAAGUGGGCGGAAUUCGUGGUGUAGCGGUGAAAUGCUUAGAUAUCACGAAGAACUCCGAUUGCGAAGGCAGCUCACUGGAGCGCAACUGACGCUGAAGCUCGAAAGUGCGGGUAUCGAACAGGAUUAGAUACCCUGGUAGUCCGCACGGUAAACGAUGGAUGCCCGCUGUUGGUCUGAAUAGGUCAGCGGCCAAGCGAAAGCAUUAAGCAUCCCACCUGGGGAGUACGCCGGCAACGGUGAAACUCAAAGGAAUUGACGGGGGCCCGCACAAGCGGAGGGACAUGUGGUUUAAUUCGAUGAUACGCGAGGAACCUUACCCGGGCUUGAAUUGCAGAGGAAGGAUUUGGAGACAAUGACGCCCUUCGGGGCCUCUGUGAAGGUGCUGCAUGGUUGUCGUCAGCUCGUGCCGUGAGGUGUCGGCUUAAGUGCCAUAACGAGCGCAACCCCUCUCCUUAGUUGCCAUCAGGUGAAGCUGGGCACUCUGGGGACACUGCCACCGUAAGGUGUGAGGAAGGUGGGGAUGACGUCAAAUCAGCACGGCCCUUACGUCCGGGGCUACACACGUGUUACAAUGGCAGGUACAGAGAGACGGUCCCUUGCAAAACGGAUCAAAUCCUUAAAGCCUGUCUCAGUUCGGACUGGGGUCUGCAACCCGACCCCACGAAGCUGGAUUCGCUAGUAAUCGCGCAUCAGCCAUGGCGCGGUGAAUACGUUCCCGGGCCUUGUACACACCGCCCGUCAAGCCAUGAAAGCCGGGGGCGCCUAAAGUCCGUGACCGUAAGGAGCGGCCUAGGGCGAAACUGGUAAUUGGGGCU
RNAcentral lists this ribosomal RNA (947 nucleotides) under uncultured bacterium. Its description in RNAcentral is "bacterial SSU rRNA". It matches the Rfam family "Bacterial small subunit ribosomal RNA", at positions 523 to 1482 of the family's 1533-position model. The record is from RNAcentral.